GAUUAACGCUGGCGGCGUGCAUAACACAUGCAAGUCGAACGAUGAAACUUAACUGAUUUCUUCGGAAUGAUUUUAAGUGGAUUAGUGGCGGACGGGUGAGUAACGCGUGAGUAACCUGCCUUGGAGAAGGGGAUAGCCUUUGGAAACGAAGAAUAAUACCCUAUGAUAUGAUAAUAUCUCAUGAUAUUAUCAUCAAAGAUUUAUCGCUCUAAGGUGGACUUGCGUCUGAUUAGUUAGUUGGUGAGGUAACAGCUCACCAAGGCAGCGAUCAGUAGCCGGCUUGAGAGAGUGUACGGCCACAUUGGGACUGAGACACGGCCCAGACUCCUACGGGAGGCAGCAGUGGGGAAUUUUGCACAAUGGGGGAAACCCUGAUGCAGCGACGCCGCGUGAUUGAGAAGGCCUUCGGGUUGUAAAAAUCUUUUGUAUGGGAAGAAAAUGACAGUACCAUACGAAUAAGGACCGGCUAAUUACGUG
This 477-nucleotide ribosomal RNA is filed under the name uncultured bacterium. RNAcentral describes it as "partial 16S ribosomal RNA". It matches the Rfam family "Bacterial small subunit ribosomal RNA", at positions 28 to 507 of the family's 1533-position model. The record is from RNAcentral.